Long non-coding RNA from Anguilla rostrata (American eel), 2162 nucleotides. RefSeq lists it as uncharacterized. NCBI's taxonomy places the organism in Eukaryota, Metazoa, Chordata, Actinopteri, Anguilliformes, Anguillidae. The transcript is spliced from 4 exons. The record is from RefSeq and is a predicted model, not a curated record.
UGCUAUCCAAUUAGAACCCAGUUUUAAAUAAUAACCCACCCCGGGAGGAGGCGGAGAAAGCGCUCUCACAAGUGUGGCGUCAGCGUGCAGCUGCGCUUUUGACGAAGAACUGCCGCAAAGAUGCUUCACAGAGAAACAGAUGGAAAACUGGACAGAAACGUGAACCCCCAAGAAGCAAGCAUGUGAGAUGUGGAGUGGACGGAGUCAACAUCCUCAACUUUACGGCCAGAUGGGAUAUCCUCCUCAGACUCCAAACCCAAGAAGUACACCUGUUUGCUGGGCAGAAGGCCAUCUCACCUGGAUGUUCCUGUUGAGCAGGGUCUUGGCCAGGUUCUUCAGUGAGAUGCUGCCCCUAGCCGGCAUGCCAGAUAGCUGUCUGAGCAGACGUGUGCAGCAGGUGUCCCGGAUCAUGUGACUGGGGGGAAUGAAGCCCAGCGCCCGGAAGUCAUUGUGUAAGGCAUGACCGACCAGAAUCUUCCCCUUCAGAAUCUGUAGUAUCUGAAAACAAACUUAAGGCAUCAUCAUCCAGAACACAGCAACACAACACUCUCCACAAUCAUUAGCAGCCUGUUUUACCUCUCCCCUGUGAAAAACACACUGUCUCACCUUUUCAGUCAAUCAAUAAGCACCGUCUCACCUCUCACCCCAUCACUGAAAUCCUAUCUCAUCCUUCCACUCCAUGACUGACAUCCAUUCUUACCCUUCUACCCCCUCAGUGAUGCCGUCUCACCCUUCUACAUCACUGAUGCCCUGCCUCACCCUUCUACUCCCUCACUGAUGCCCUGUCUCACCCUUCUACUCCAUAACUGAUGCCCUGCCUCACCCUUCUACUCCAUCACUGAAGCGGUCUCACCCUUCUACCCCCUCACUGAUGCCCUGUCUCACCCUUCUACUCCCUCACUGAUGCCCUGUCUCACCCUUCUACUUCCUCACUGAUGCCCUGUCUCACCCUUCUACUUCCUCACUGAUGCCCUCUCUUACCCUUCUACUCCAUCACUGAUCCCCUGUCUCACCUCUUUCCUGGCCUGCUGGAAGGGUACAGCAUGCAGCAGGUGAUGUGGGUAGAUGCCACUCCAGCGGGUGCGGUAGUCGGUGACGGGUAGCAGGGGCUGGACAUACUGGUCAUACAGGACUUCGCCGUGGUAAUUCACCAGGCUACAUCGGGCCAGCUCACUGCAGCGGCCCUCGUGCCCCGUGCCGACCAUCUCGCAGUCCAUAGCCACCAGCUGAGCCGGUCCAAUCCCAGCACACGGGGAGCUGCGGCCGCUGGUGGGGGGGCUGACCUCCGAAGAGAACCCGCUGUCCAGCUCCCACUGCUCACCGGCUGCGGUCCUCACCCUCUUGCUGGCUUUCCCAGCAGGGUCUGACCCCAUCUCAUGUCCUGUCUCUCUCUGGCCCCUGAGCAUUAAGCACAGGUCUCUCCUCUUCGUCUUCAGAACUGUCAUCUUCCUCAGUGCUUCCUUGUGACGCUCCACCCUCUGAAUCUUGCUUGGAGUUCUCUUCUUGGCAGGGCCCAUUAUUCCCUGUGUGUCUGCCUCAAGGGAAGGGGAGGCAAAAUGGCACGCAGUGCUCCGGGAUACAGGCAAGGGGCUCUUCCGAAGCGGUUCCCCUCCGCUUCCGGUCCCUCCACAGUCGCUGACAUUCGGUCUUUUCAUGCCUGUGGAAAUGACAGCUGCAGUGACACAGCUAGUUAACACGUGCACGCGAAAAUGAAUGAGCUAGGUACUUUGGACAUGAUACUCGCGGUGCAAAAAUGACACUAUUUACUCGUUUAUGGAAACAUUUAAAAUGGCACCGCAUGAAUUAUUUGAACCAUUAAACUACCACAGAAUAUCGCUACGAACUGUUCCGCGAAAAUUAGCUGGCGAAUAAAAUAAACUAACACAGAAUAGUGAAAUCAUAAAGGUUUCCGUCUGUCACGGUAUUCAAAUUUGUUGUCCACAUCUGAGAUAUAAAAGAGGAGAGCAUAUCUAACAUCAGCUAACAUAUGCUAAGGCUGAAAUUUAGAUCGCCAUUGUUAACCGAACCGGAACAGCACAAGCACGUUUUUUCCCCAAAUAUUCUUAUAUCUUGUCGUCCAUUACAACUGUGAUGUAAAUUAAGAAUAUGUUUCUAAUAGAACCAGUAACUAUAUCACUUCGCUAAGUAUAAAUAAUGUCACC